This 826-nucleotide ribosomal RNA is filed under the name uncultured bacterium. RNAcentral's name for it is "bacterial SSU rRNA". It matches the Rfam family "Bacterial small subunit ribosomal RNA", at positions 66 to 872 of the family's 1533-position model. The record is from RNAcentral.
ACGCGAAAGUCCCGCAAGGGAUCAGUAGAGUGGCGACGGGUGAGUAACACGUGGGUGACCUGCCUUCGAGUGGGGGAUAACGUCCCGAAAGGGACGCUAAUACCGCAUGACAUCCUGCCUUUGAAGAGGUGGAGCUUAAAGCUGGGGAUCGCAAGACCUAGCGCUUGAAGAGGGGCCCGCGCCUGAUUAGCUAGUUGGUGAGGUAACGGCUCACCAAGGCAACGAUCAGUAUCCGGCCUGAGAGGGCGGACGGACACACUGGGACUGAGACACGGCCCAGACUCCUACGGGAGGCAGCAGUGGGGAAUUGUUCGCAAUGGGCGCAAGCCUGACGACGCAACGCCGCGUGGAGGAUGAAGACCUUCGGGUCGUAAACUCCUUUCGAUCGAGACGAACGGCUUCCGGGUGAACAAUCCGGGAGAGUGACGGUACCGAGAGAAGAAGCCCCGGCUAACUCCGUGCCAGCAGCCGCGGUAAUACGGGGGGGCAAGCGUUGUUCGGAAUUACUGGGCGCAAAGGGCUCGUAGGCGGCCAACUAAGUCAGACGUGAAAUCCCUCGGCUUAACCGGGGAACUGCGUCUGAUACUGGAUGGCUUGAGAUUGGGAGAGGGAUGCGGAAUUCCAGGUGUAGCGGUGAAAUGCGUAGAUAUCUGGAGGAACACCGGUGGCGAAGGCGGCAUCCUGGACCAACACUGACGCUGAGGAGCGAAAGCCAGGGGAGCAAACGGGAUUAGAUACCCCGGUAGUCCUGGCCCUAAACGAUGAAUGCUUGGUGUGGCGGGUAUCGAUCCCUGCCGUGCCGAAGCUAACGCAUUAAGCAUUCCGC